This 254-nucleotide ribosomal RNA is filed under the name uncultured bacterium. RNAcentral's name for it is "partial 16S ribosomal RNA". It matches the Rfam family "Bacterial small subunit ribosomal RNA", at positions 524 to 776 of the family's 1533-position model. The record is from RNAcentral.
UACGUAGGGGGCGAGCGUUGUCCGGAUUUAUUGGGCGUAAAGAGCUCGUAGGCGGCUUAGCAAGUCGGGUGUGAAAACUCCAGGCUCAACCUGGAGACGCCACUCGAGACUGCUAUGGCUAGAGUCCGGUAGGGGACCACGGAAUUCCUGGUGUAGCGGUGAAAUGCGCAGAUAUCAGGAGGAACACCGGUGGCGAAGGCGGUGGUCUGGGCCGGAACUGACGCUGAGGAGCGAAAGCGUGGGGAGCAAACAGG